UACGUAGGUCCCGAGCGUUGUCCGGAUUUAUUGGGCGUAAAGCGAGCGCAGGCGGUUAGAUAAGUCUGAAGUUAAAGGCUGUGGCUUAACCAUAGUAUGCUUUGGAAACUGUUUAACUCGAGUGCAGAAGGGGAGAGUGGAAUUCCAUGUGUAGCGGUGAAAUGCGUAGAUAUAUGGAGGAACACCGGUGGCGAAAGCGGCUCUCUGGUCUNGUAACUGACGCUGAGGCUCGAAAGCGUGGGGAGCAAGCAGGAUUAGAUAC
This 262-nucleotide ribosomal RNA is filed under the name uncultured Streptococcaceae bacterium. RNAcentral describes it as "partial 16S ribosomal RNA". It matches the Rfam family "Bacterial small subunit ribosomal RNA", at positions 524 to 785 of the family's 1533-position model. The record is from RNAcentral. Lineage: Bacteria; Bacillati; Bacillota; Bacilli; Lactobacillales; Streptococcaceae.